UAGGGAAUCUUCCACAAUGGACGCAAGUCUGAUGGAGCAACGCCGCGUGAGUGAAGAAGGUUUUCGGACCGUAAAGCUCUGUUGUUGGUGAAGAAGGAUAGAGGUAGUAACUGGCCUUUAUUUGACGGUAAUCAACCAGAAAGUCACGGCUAACUACGUGCCAGCAGCCGCGGUAAUACGUAGGUGGCAAGCGUUGUCCGGAUUUAUUGGGCGUAAAGCGAGCGCAGGCGGAAGAAUAAGUCUGAUGUGAAAGCCCUCGGCUUAACCGAGGAAUUGCAUCGGAAACUGUUUUUCUUGAGUGCAGAAGAGGAGAGUAGAAACUCCAUGUGUAGCGGUGGAAUGCGUAGAUAUAUGGAAGAAUACCAGUGGCGAAGGCGGCUCUCUGGUCUGCAACUGACGCUGAGGCUCGAAAGCAUGGGUAGCGAACAGGAUUAGAUACCCUGGUAGUCCAUGCCGUAAAACGAUGAGUGCUAAGUGUUGGGAGGCUUCCGCCUCUCAGUGCUGCAGCUAACGCAUUAAGCACUCCGCCUGGGGGAGUACGACCGCAAGGUUGAAAC
RNAcentral lists this ribosomal RNA (557 nucleotides) under uncultured bacterium. Its description in RNAcentral is "partial 16S ribosomal RNA". It matches the Rfam family "Bacterial small subunit ribosomal RNA", at positions 355 to 900 of the family's 1533-position model. The record is from RNAcentral.